This 755-nucleotide ribosomal RNA is filed under the name Malcolmiella interversa. RNAcentral describes it as "Malcolmiella sp. 2021a partial large subunit ribosomal RNA". The record is from RNAcentral. Lineage: Eukaryota; Fungi; Ascomycota; Lecanoromycetes; Lecanorales; Pilocarpaceae.
GCGCGGCGCCGGCNUAAGUCCCUUAGAACAGGGCAUCAUAGAGGGUGAGAAUCCCGUCUGCGGCCGGUGGCCAAACCUAUGUGAAACCCCUUCGACGAGUCGAGUUGUUUGGGAAUGCAGCUCAAAAUGGGUGGUAAAUUUCAUCUAAAGCUAAAUACCGGCCAGAGACCGAUAGCGCACAAGUAGAGUGAUCGAAAGAUGAAAAGCACUUUGGAAAGAGAGUUAAACAGUACGUGAAAUUGUUGAAAGGGAAGCGCUUGCGACCAGACCUGCCCCCGGGUGCUCCGCCGCGAUUUGUCGCGGUGCACUGGCCCGGGAUCAGGCCAGCAUCGGUUUGGGCGGUGGGAAAAAGGCUUCGGGAAUGUAGCUCCCUCCGGGGAGUCKUAUAGCCCGGAGCGUCAUGCCGCCUGCCUAGACCGAGGACCGCGCUUCGGCGAGGAUGCNGGCGUAAUGGUCGUAAGCGACCCGUCUUGAAACACGGACCAAGGAGUCUAACAUCUAUGCGAGUGUUUGGGUGUCAAACCCGGGCGCGUAAUGAAAGUGAACGGAGGUGGGAACCCUCUGCGGGGCGCACCAUCGACCGAUCCUGAUGUCUUCGGAUGGAUUUGAGUAUGAGCANNGCUGUUGGGACCCGAAAGAUGGUGAACUAUGCCUGAAUAGGGUGAAGCCAGAGGAAACUCUGGUGGAGGCUCGCAGCGGUUCUGACGUGCAAAUCGAUCGUCAAAUUUGGGUAUAGGGGCGAAAGACUAAUCGAA